This is a non-coding RNA of Cyanistes caeruleus (blue tit), 690 nucleotides long. The record is from RefSeq and is a predicted model, not a curated record. Lineage: Eukaryota; Metazoa; Chordata; Aves; Passeriformes; Paridae.
UUUCAGAUUCAUGGUCUCUGUGAUUUGGUUGACAUAUCCUUCAAACCACAUGGGAUAAUCAAAGUUACCCUUGUUGGAUCCCAUUAUAAUCUUUUUAAGAAACCCCAGGAGCCUUCAUGAGGCAAUAGAUGGAUAGACUGCACACCCCCAGAGCCUGAUGCUCAAGUUGCUCAUUAUUCCUGUAUGGGUUUCAGAAAAGUGACUAUGCAACUCUCUCAUCUGGGAAGCAGUGCUAAUCCAGAUGAAAAUUAGAAGAUUCUUGCUUACAAGGAAUUCAAAAUUGUGCAGUGGUGCUGAUGUGGAUUCCUGAGGCUCUGGGACAGGACAACCAAUCACACAGGAGUCUGGCAUUCAUAUAUAUGGACAACAUUGAAAAAUCCCUGAUAAAAUGAGUUUUGUUAUGGCCUGAAGAUGCAGCUUAUCACAGGUCCGUAGUGAUUGCCAUAUCAUGCAGGGAGAUGAGCAGUCUUCACCAUGUAUCAUUUCUGAAAGUGUCAGCAUCGUGUCCUGUCUUGGGAGACACAGCAACAAUACCUAUCACGUAAAUCUCAGGGCACCUCUACUUAGAGGUGGGAAAAACAGAGGAUGGGGGACUUAAAUGACCUUUGGGACAUCACCCAGCAGCCAAGAGAGAGAAUCCAGAUCUUUGGAACAUUUCUCUUCUGGAAGGAUACUUCACAAAACACUCAU